GCAGAUAACAGAUAAUUGUGCUGAAUCCCCAGCUAGGAACAACAGAUAAUUGUGCUGAAUCCCCAGCUAGAAACAACAGAUAAUUGUGCUGAAUCCCCAGCUAGGACAUCAGGCAGAUAUUUCAAGUUAAGAGCAUGGUGACCUGUAUGGGGAGCCUACACGUGAUCUUCAUCCGUUGAUAGGCGUGUAUUGUCAUGCAUUCAGUUCCGGGAUAGAUUGUAGCAACAAUCAUAUCUUGUAUUGUUUGUAUACUUUGCAUAUUUCUUUGAUGUUUUUCUACCUGACCACAUAAAUUGUCUGUUUUUAUAUGAAUAUUGUAUUUGAACAAAUCAUAUAGGAUAUUGACAUGGUUGAAUUUUUACUUGUUUACUUCAUCAUCAAAUUCAUCAAGCUUCCGAUCAACAUAUGACAUGAAGAAUGAUAUCAAGAUGAUUUUCCUGAUAGUCAGUCUAGUCUUUGAUUGUAACCUUUAUGAAAUAGCCUCUUCUAGGAAUGCAGGGGAACUUAUGUCAGGGACAAGUAGGGUUGAAUGGUUUUAAUGCGUUUGAAAUCUACUGUAUUCCCUGUAAUAAGUGCCCUGACUUACUAAGUGUCCUCUCACUCACUUCCAACUCAUCUAUAAUGGAUUGUUUUACGAGCCCUCUACUACGACUGGCCAUUUACAUGACAGCCUGUAUCUGCAUAUAUAACUGCCUGGUAACUAUGAUCAUAAACGUUUUUGUUACAGUUGAACUUAUUGUUUUCUACCUCUUGAUCUGUGACAACAAAUUUUGUCUCCCUGUUUGUGGAUUAUUACUGUGUAUAUGGCUGUCAGGGUGUAUACUCCCAGAGAGAAUACAUACUUAGAUCACAAAUGCUCAUCUUGUAAUUAACAAAUAAACUUCCACUCACUCACUCACCUAUACAGGGCUAUCCAGCCCAAAGAAGCAAUCAAACUAUGUAACCAGAUCAUUGACAGCUCUCCUGACAUCUUACCAAGGCAAGGGAGUUAACUCUUCUGAAAAAUGUAGUGUCCUUGGACGGAAUUCCGUAGCUCACUUGUAGAGCCACCAUUAGGUAUAAUGAGUUACAUACCUUACACUAGCCAAUCAGAUUCUAUCUGUCAUAUUGCUUGCAUUUACUUCAAUCAAUAACAGGCCUGGUCAAGAUGAUCUUAUGAAUAUUCGAAACAUAUAUUGUCAUGAUAUAGGUCUUACUUUCUAUUUUGUCCCUUGCCUUGGAAAGGUCAUGACUAGCAUCACAGUCCAAGGUCACAAAGAACCCAGCAGUUUCUUGUUCCCGAUCUGUUCAGUAUUCAGUAUUGGCCUGCAUCUUCCCAUCACUGUGUAUAUGUAUAGACCUGUGUAUAACUAUACAUUUGUAUAUACAGCAAUGUGAUUAUUUUGGAGGAAGUGACAAGUGCAAUAUUUUGCGAAAAUAUAUUUGUUUGUCUUAAUUUAUUUUCAUCCAUGUGUGUCAUUUCGAGAACAUCAUAUCUAUAUCUAGAGAUCAUGAUUUAAUUUGAAGACAGACAUAUGUAUGUAAUAAUUUUACCGAUGACUUAAGUGUUGACUGAAGUACUUUCAGAGAGAGAGAGAGAGCGAGCUGUGUAGCAUUCUUCUUGAAUGUGUUUCCUUCAGUAGUUGCCAAUUUGAGUAGUGCUCUCUUAGCAACACUUUCAGUACUAAGUACCAAGCAAUAGAAACAACUGUUAGAUAUGAUAAUCAUUGUUAUCAGUGAUUAUCAGGUGAUAUUUGUCUGUUAUCAGUGAUUACCAGGUGAUAUCAGUCUGUUAUCAGUGAUUACCAGGUACCAGGUGAUAUCAGUCUGUUAUCAGUGAUUACCAGGUUCCAGGUGAUAUCAGUCUGUUAUCAGUGAUUAUCAGGUGAUAUCAGUCCAUUAGUACUGUGUUAUGAGUGAAGAUCAUCUGAUAUCAGCCAAUAUUGUUGUGUUCUGUGUGGUAAUCAUGUGGUUAUCACAUGGAAGCUCAUGUUAUAGCUGUCAGUUAUCACAGUGUUAUCAGAGGAACUGCAACAAGUGAUCCUGCUAUAUUGAUAUUACUUGUGGGAAGAAUUUACUUUAUUCAUAAAUUGAGGGAGGAAUUCACUUUAUUAUGUUGAUUCUUUUUUUUUUUUAUGGUGAGGCAUUACAAUAUGGCAAACAUUCCGUACUUAAGGAGUAUGUGGUUUGUAUUUUCCUGUGAUGUUAUGACAAUGUGUUUAAUUCUAUGGUACCAAUAUGCUUUGUCACGCCUUCAUUGUUUGCAGUCCGACCAGACUAGGAUCCAUAGCAGGCACUCUGCAUCAAGCUGACCUAUGUUGACACCAGUGGCUAAAUAGGCCAUGACAUUUGAGUAGUGAAGUUGUUCCUGCUAUGAAGCUUGGUAGUACAGCUGUAUUCAAGUCACCCACAGUGUGAGAAAACACCUGCAUGGGCAGUGUCAUGUAAUAUUACAUCUUCUAGUGACUAUUUAACAAGAAGGUUCAGGGCAACAAUGUAUUCUGGGCAAUAUUAUUAUUUAAAAUUUAACAAAAUCAGAUAAUAGAUACAUUGUUUCUUGAUAUUAAUAUGCUACAAGUGAGAUGUCUUCAGUCACUUGGUGUCCAUCCAUGUGAGUUGUUAGGAUUAGCAGUCUCCAGAUCAAUUAGUGUCUAAACUAAUAUAGUGUCAUAUUCUUGUGGUGUUAAGUUUAACUGUCCAGAAUGAGGUGUCUAGCUUAACAAGGUUUCCAGAUCUGUGAAGUGUCUGGAUUAACAAGGUUUCCAGAUAUGUGAAGUGUCUGGAUUAACAAGGUUUCCAGAUAUGUGAAAUGUCUGGAUUAACAAGGUUUCAAGAUGUGUUGAUAAACAGAGGUUAGAAUAUUUUCAAACUAAUGUAAUGCAAAAUGUCAUUCUGUUUAAAACAAUUAAAGACAUCCCAAAAGGUUUCCUAUAGACUAUCAUAUAGUAGCUGCUGUUAUUUUCUCCCUGUGUGUCAUGUUUGCUUCCCUCUUGUCAAUAUCCAGACUGCACAGCAUUGACAGCAUGGUGAGUGUAUUCUACACUGAAAUGUGCCAAGGGAGGUGAUAACAUGAUAUAUACCACUGUGGUCCUGUACCAGUACGCUGGAUUCUUUAUUCUAGUACUACAGUGUAGAUAAAUGCUGGGAGGUAUGUACAGACUAUACUGUCUCAUGUAUCUCCUCAUAAUACUAAUGUAUAUAUUUGUUGAUUAUAGCUCAAAUAGUAAAUAAAUGAAAUCAACUUGCA
Haliotis rubra (blacklip abalone) is the source of this 3226-nucleotide long non-coding RNA. RefSeq lists it as uncharacterized. Lineage: Eukaryota; Metazoa; Mollusca; Gastropoda; Lepetellida; Haliotidae. The record is from RefSeq and is a predicted model, not a curated record. The transcript has 2 exons.